RNAcentral lists this ribosomal RNA (483 nucleotides) under uncultured bacterium. Its description in RNAcentral is "bacterial SSU rRNA". It matches the Rfam family "Bacterial small subunit ribosomal RNA", at positions 30 to 507 of the family's 1533-position model. The record is from RNAcentral.
AUUGAACGCUGGCGGCAGGCCUUACACAUGCAAGUCGAACGGCAGCACGGGAGCAAUCCUGGUGGCGAGUGGCGAACGGGUGAGUAAUAUAUCGGAACGUGCCCGGUCGUGGGGGAUAACGUAGCGAAAGCUACGCUAAUACCGCAUACGAUCUAUGGAUGAAAGCGGGGAUCGCAAGACCUCGCGCGAUUGGAGCGGCCGAUAUCAGAUUAGGUAGUUGGUGAGGUAAAGGCUCACCAAGCCGACGAUCUGUAGCUGGUCUGAGAGGACGACCAGCCACACUGGGACUGAGACACGGCCCAGACUCCUACGGGAGGCAGCAGUGGGGAAUUUUGGACAAUGGGCGCAAGCCUGAUCCAGCAAUGCCGCGUGCAGGAUGAAGGCCUUCGGGUUGUAAACUGCUUUUGUACGGAACGAAACGGUGAGCUCUAAUACAGUUUGCUAAUGACGGUACCGUAAGAAUAAGCACCGGCUAACUACGUG